RNAcentral lists this long non-coding RNA (2044 nucleotides) under Marmota monax (woodchuck). Lineage: Eukaryota; Metazoa; Chordata; Mammalia; Rodentia; Sciuridae. The record is from RNAcentral.
CCUAACGAUGUUUCCCUUGCUGAACGGAGCAGAGAUGAGCAUGUUUAUCAGCCAUGCCGUGCCUGGUGGAACCGUCCUAUCUGCGCCUCACUACAUGAACAUUACUAUUAACUGUUGCCAGGAGAGCCAGAGAAGACAAAGAGCACCCACCACGUGGCACCAAUACUCUGCCAUCAACACUCCGCCUCUUCUCUCUCCUCAUCUGCAGAAGGAUUAUUUUUUCCCCCUUUGCUGCAUCUUGGACAGACCCCCAUACUGCAUUAGAACCCCACCCACCCACGCUGCUUUCUCUUUUCUGCCUUCCUGCUCCUGUUCCCCUGGGUACCAACAAUAGCUGUGGAUGGUUGUAGUCAACACAUUGCUUGAAUCUGAAUCCUGACUCUGGUUGUGUGAUGUUGCACCAGUUCCAUAACCUCUCUGAGCCUGUUUUCUCCCCUGGGAGAUAAAGGAUUUGCUAGUUCCCUCUUCAUGAGGUUGUUAUAAGCGUGAAAUGAGCUCUGAACAUGAAGACUCUCAUAUACAGCAAGAAUUUGUGGAACAAUGUUUUUUUCUUGUCACCAGUAUUCUCAUGGCUUUUUUAUCUUUUCUUGGUAAUUGGUCCAUAGUAAAAUUAUGAUAAUGAAGGAUAGCAAAGUCUAUAUAGUAGACAUAGUAUAUGUUCAAUAAACUCCAUGCAAGUGUCAUUUUGGGGGUGGGGUACUGGGAAUUGAAUCCAGAGACACUUUACCACUGAGCUACAUCUCCAGACUUUUUUAUUUUGGGAGAGUGUCUCACUAAGUUGCUAGGUCUGGCCUUGAAUUUGCAAUCCUUCUGCCUCAACCUCCUAACUUGCUGGGAUUACAGGUUUGCUCCACCACCAUGCCCGGCUCUAUAGGUAUCAUUUCAACUGGCCCCCAAACUCUGCUGAACAUAAGAAUCAGUGCUGGUUUGGAAAGCACAUCAGGAUCCUCCAGUGUUUUGGGGCUUUUGUUUUGAAAAGGCCCUUUUUACCAUUUUACUGCCCAUCGGAACAAAUAAAGACAAAUCAAUGGACAGAACAUCACUCCAACUUUCUCACCCCAGUUGAAGCCUUUUCCUGUGGAUCCAGAUAAAAAGUCUGUAGGAGACACUUCAUGCUGUAGGGUCAGUGUGGAGGUUACAUAAUACCCAGUAAGUUUGCCUUUAAGGUAAAUGUUUGAAGUCUUUCUCCCUUCAGUUUGAUACAAAGAGUAUUUUCCCAGCAGACUUUUCCUGAUGUCCCAAUUUCAUGUCCUUACUUUUCCACACUCUGUGUAAGAGAGCUCUUUCUGAAAUGUACAAGUUUGUGGAAGAAGUUACAAUACCACAGAACACAUGGUGUGUUGCCCAAGUGGACUUCACCUGGGCCCGGCCUCCUCCUGUCUAGACAGCCCAGCCCAGCUCUGGCCAUCCGUGACCUGCAGGGUGCAGGAGACAGGUCCAGAGGGCAGCUAAGCGGCCUGUCCAUUCACUGAGCUCUGAACUAAGUUCGGGUGACCCCAAACGCUGUCCACUGGUUUGUACACCCAUAGUACAAAGACGAGUUCCGUUCCUUUGUGCUGUGGAACAUUUGCCAGCUCUCAGUCACGUUGCAGGGGAUCCUGUGGCCCUGCAAUGAAAGGCCCUAUUGUGAUGACUGGUCAACAAGGCAGAUCUAAGUCCAUUCUGGGCAUCACAACUGGGAACCUCCCGGCUUUUUACGAGCUGAGAAGUGGACGCUUAGUAUUGUAUUAAAGUAAAUGGGAAGGAGGCAAUUCCGUUAAAAAUACCCCAGUAAAGAAAAGGAGAUACUUAUCUGCUCAUUGUCUCCGACUAGAAGCUUUUAAAACCACCUGAGAAAUGGGCUUAUUGCUUUCAUUGUUUCUUUCCUUCUUCUUUUUCCUCCUUCUCACUGACAUUUGUCCUCUUUUCCAAAACCUCCUCUCCUGGUGAUCCAGGCGACUACUGGGAAUUCUCCCUCCACCAUGUGGACAAACAAGCAGAUCAUUCAAAGUAUUCAGAUCACAGGGACAAAGACAUGGAAAUGCUUGGGAUUCAGAGUUCUGGC